CGAGAGCGAGAGAAAGAAAAGUUUGGGUCAUUUUUUGUAAGAAUUAAAAAAAUGGGUCAAUUUUGGUGGCGAUGUUGCCCCAAUUAACAUACAGUGUAAUUUUCUCUAUUUAUAUAACAUGAUGGUAUCAUAAAGGGUGAGAGAAAACUGAAUCAUGAUAUCAUUUCAAUAUAUUUAUAUACCAUUUUAGUAUCAUAACGGGGUAAUUGAAGCAUCUCGGGUAAAUAUUUUUAAUUUUUUAUGGGUACAAAAGUAACGGCGGUAGGGGCAGGACAAUUUUUUUUUUUAAUUUUUUUUGUUUGAAGCAUCUCGGGUAAAUAUUUUAACUUGGGAUUUUGCUUCAGCUUUUCGUCCACUCCGUAUGAAUUCAACCAAGUAAUCGGUUAUUACCUUGUCUCGACUCGCUUUAUUUCACCUUUUUACUCGCCCUGUCCACAAAAUUGGUUAAGGAGGUAAAUUUUGCAUUCCAAGAUUAAUGAUAUAGAAUGGCAUUUCUCAUUUUAUCUAUUAAGUCUUCGAUCAAUCAAUCCCAAACUAGUGAGUGUCCGUUAUAUGAAUCCUCUGUUCAGCCAGAUUUCAAUCGACGUAAAUAAUUUGCUUUUUAAGGCACUUGUAAGUUGUACCUACACUGACAAUCUGACACAAAAGUUUAUGACCAGACAAUACAAGGACUAAGCCUUAUUACCAAAAUGGAUCAUAUCGCGUUAAUUGGUUACAAAGCACUUAUGAGGAAGUAGCUAACAAGUGUUUUGAUUCAAUUUGGAAAUGGAAGUUGAUUUGAGGACUCCCGACCAAAUAUUAUCGCAUCUGAAUCUCUUAACGAGUUAAAAUACUGUUCAGAUAUUAUCAGACAGUGAAGCUUCUUCGCUUUCCUUCCAAUCUUCUAAGUUCUAAGUACUUGCUUUACUGAGCGUUGGUUGAGUUAAUUGGACAUCCGACAGAUUAUGACUCCAGGAUAUUGCAGCAGAGUCAAUGCUUUUACUGUUGGAGGUUUGAUUAUGGAUUUGUUGUCUAGAGGAAACUGAUGUUAGGUGGAUCAGGUUUAGAUCAAAUCAUUAGUCUAAUCGACAUGAGGUGGCUAUAUAUGAAGAUGAACAUGACAAGCCUCCAAUCGAUCUGGGCUUAACAAACCAGCUGAAGUAACAAUCAGCGACCAGUCUUCAGGGGAAAUACGUGAAAAUGUUAAAGCUUAAAACAGAGAGAUAAGUAGUCGUUCCCUGUUAUGGCCACUUUGAGAUAUUCUCUGGGUCUUAGUCAAAUAUGGCCAAGGAACAGAAUGAAUCAUCUCCUUCAUGCGGUUAACACGGGACCAAAAGCUUUGACACGACUUCCUACUUUUGCGAGAAAUACUUUGGACCAACUAAAUCCACGAAGUUCAGCGGGUUUAUCGCGUUUGAUCCAUCAACAGAAAAUGGAAAUUCUUUCAGCAUUUCAGCAGGUUUGGUUUGAUUGAAGACGAUGAAGAAUAUCUCAAUGGAUGAUGUGUCUCUAGAAUUUGAAAAUCCUGUGGAUAUGGAUGGAGGAGACUUUUCUGUUAUUGACGAAGAAACCACCUCGGUCUACUCUAGUGACCUUUAACAUUCCUACCAGAUCAUCCUUGACUUAAUCCGGCCAUGAUGAAAGAAAUGACAAUGGUGAUGUUUCUUGCCGAAAAAUGAAGUAGGUAUGAUGGGAUACUCUUAGAUAGAAGAUGAAAAUUCGGUAAAGAAUCCUCAAGAGCACUUUUGCAGCAUGAAAUGCGGAUAGUUAACCGUCCCCACACCCACACCCCUUAACUAGAAAGACUCAUUUAGUAUUGAUUGAAGACAAACAUGGUAGCUUUAGUUUUAAUUGAAUACAAACAUGGUAAUUUUACUUAGGCACACCUGGGUUCAUUUUGAUGACCCAACAGAAUAAGGAUGUGCUAUUCUAGAGACAGAAAAGGCUAAAGGUUUUGAGCUGGAUUGCAAGCAGCAAACAACUAUAAGUGGAGGCCACUCUCGUGUUCUAUGCAACAUUGUUCACGGAAUAGAUCUAGAGUUGGCUGGCUGCCUAAUGGUAUUCUCAUACAUUCUGGUGUCAGUUGGAGGACAUUGCCAAUAUACAGCAGAACACUCGGAAUAUGGAGGCUUGCAACUUCUGUGCUGGAUUCCAAGUCAGAAAUUGAAAAUUGAGACCUGGAAGCUGGAAGAUUUAUUUUGUUUUAUGGAGAAGUUCCUUUUAGUAAGCUUGUGGUCUUAUGAUUCAAGUGGUGUGAAAUUUCUCUUCAGAUACUCUAAUUGCAGAUUUUUCUUUAAAAUCUCUCUCCCUCCUAAUUGUCUGGAAGUUUUACCAUGUUGAACCAAACUUUUUUUGUAUAGGUCACCUACACAAGCUGGUGGGUGACAUUCUUGCAUCCAUAGAUGCACACAGUGAGGAAGUAUGGCCCCAACUAUUAAGUUUGAUAAUGCUAGUUGCUGGAUGUACAUCCUGAAACAAAUGUUCUUCUGUGAAUCUGAUUUGAGAUAUGGGAUGCCCAUGUUAUUGGAUGAUAGAAAAACUGAAUGUCCUUGUAAGUAAGCUGCAUUUCUAGGUUUAUGUUAUCAAGUUGUAAAUGUACCAUCAGAAGGCAGCAUACUGAUAAAGUGAAGUCUUCCUUCGUAAUUGGAGCAAAGUCUGUUUAGCUGGAUUUGACCUGUAUGGUUGCUCAAUACUGCCGAUAAACAGUUUCCCUGUUACCAGUGGGUUGAACGUAUUCAUUUUCUUGCAUAGGGCAGAAGUGAAUUGAAAACCUUUUUUUUUUUUUUUAAUUGACAAAGCAUUCUUUUACUGGUAGGAGACUCCUGAAAAUAAAAGUAAUCCAUUUGCAGACUUCAUUAUCUGCUUAAACGAACAUUUGGUUGUUAUUAUAGCAGAUUGCCUGUUGAUGCAAGGUAAUUCUCAUUAUCGAAACAUUGGACUAGCUGGUUUACCGCUUGUGUCUUCCCCGUCCAGCAAACCUCUAAAGCCAUAUAACAUUCGUGUCAUGUUCAUGUUCCUAACACUGGAUUCUCUUGAAGUACUCCGCCCGAGCUUAUCUUGACAGAGCUAUUCUGAGGCCCUGUACCCUUUGCAUCAAAAACCAUGAAUAGUUUCCUUUUUGUGAUUUUGCUGUACCAGUCAAGAUAUUUUCUGAAAUCUCAAUCCUUAAAACUUGUAAAGAAACCAAGAAUAAUAAAGACAAUGAUUAGGAUAAAUUGGAACCUUACUUAGUAUAGAAAUUAUGGUAUAGUAAUUACAAAUAAUCUUCCUUGUUGAAGAUAAGUUAGUUCAACAAGUGAGGUGGAAAGUUAUUUAUUCUUAAUAUUGCUAGAUGUAUGCUAAUAUGUGUCUAGUAACUUCUCAUUCUGUAACCUAGUUCAGAAAUAUUUAAUUUCAUUAUGGCAGGAUUGGAAUGGGGACUGGGACUACUAUGGAAUGGAACCGGAUCUUUAUUUUAUGUCAUUGGAUGAUAUAAAUUUGAACGUUCUAUCUCACAUAUGUCAUGGUGAAAGCAUGCCAGUGUCACAUAAAACCUUCUCAUGUUUGAUAGAUUAUAUUGUAUCAGCUUAGAGAACUUUGUCCUUGGUUUACAUUGAGGCAAAGUAUCCCCUGAAUUUUAGGUUUUAACAACAUGGUUCGCGUGGAUCCUGGCAUUUACUGUUACCAGGAGUCCAGAGCUGUAAGUUGUAACUUGUAACUCAUGGAUGUUUGAUUCCCUUUAGGUUGGUUUAUUGUGUCAAGGCUGAAGAGAGAUGCAGUUUGCUAUGUCUGAAGAUAGUGGAAAUCAACAAAUCAAGUUUAGCAAGCUGGUGUGAUACCAUAUUUAAGUCAGCUAAAGCUAAAGCUUCCAUGAUUCCACAUUUAAGGCACCCAUCCCUGAAGAGAUGGAUUAACAGUGACUUCCUCAUCAGUGUGACCACAUUGUGAUUUGUGAAAGUUUCUCUUCGUUUCAAGUGUCGUCUUGGUUGAAACAUGUAUUCUCCCCAAGAUUGUCCAUAAAUGAGGAGAAUUGUUGAGUGGUUAAUCAAAUCGAUUAUGUCUUAACUCUAA
Long non-coding RNA from Lycium barbarum (goji berry), 4029 nucleotides. RefSeq lists it as uncharacterized. The record is from RefSeq and is a predicted model, not a curated record. Lineage: Eukaryota; Viridiplantae; Streptophyta; Magnoliopsida; Solanales; Solanaceae. The transcript is spliced from 2 exons.